Molecule: microRNA precursor, 62 nt
Organism: Gadus morhua (Atlantic cod)
Lineage: Eukaryota; Metazoa; Chordata; Actinopteri; Gadiformes; Gadidae
Gene: gmo-mir-9-3
Product: gmo-mir-9-3
Source: Ensembl
UCUUUGGUUAUCUAGCUGUAUGAGUGUUAAGCCUCCUUCAUAAAGCUAGCUAACCGAAAGUA